UUAAGCGACUAAGCGUACACGGUGGAUGCCCUGGCAGUCAGAGGCGAUGAAGGACGUGCUAAUCUGCGAUAAGCGUCGGUAAGGUGAUAUGAACCGUUAUAACCGGCGAUUUCCGAAUGGGGAAACCCAGUGUGAUUCGUCACACUAUCAUUAACUGAAUCCAUAGGUUAAUGAGGCGAACCGGGGGAACUGAAACAUCUAAGUACCCCGAGGAAAAGAAAUCAACCGAGAUUCCCCCAGUAGCGGCGAGCGGACGGGGAGCAGCCCAGAGCCUGAAUCAGUGUGUGUGUUAGUGGAAGCGUCUGGAAAGGCGUGCGAUACAGGGUGACAGCCCCGUACACAAAAAUGCACAUAUUGUGAGCUUGAUGAGUAGGGCGGGACACGUGGUAUCCUGUCUGAAUAUGGGGGGACCAUCCUCCAAGGCUAAAUACUCCUGACUGACCGAUAGUGAACCAGUACCGUGAGGGAAAGGCGAAAAGAACCCCGGCGAGGGGAGUGAAAAAGAACCUGAAACCGUGUACGUACAAGCAGUGGGAGCACGCUUAGGCGUGUGACUGCGUACCUUUUGUAUAAUGGGUCAGCGACUUAUAUUCUGUAGCAAGGUUAACCGAAUAGGGGAGCCGAAGGGAAACCGAGUCUUAACUGGGCGUUAAGUUGCAGGGUAUAGACCCGAAACCCGGUGAUCUAGCCAUGGGCAGGUUGAAGGUUGGGUAACACUAACUGGAGGACCGAACCGACUAAUGUUGAAAAAUUAGCGGAUGACUUGUGGCUGGGGGUGAAAGGCCAAUCAAACCGGGAGAUAGCUGGUUCUCCCCGAAAGCUAUUUAGGUAGCGCCUCGUGAAUUCAUCUCCGGGGGUAGAGCACUGUUUCGGCAAGGGGGUCAUCCCGACUUACCAACCCGAUGCAAACUGCGAAUACCGAAGAAUGUUAUCACGGGAGACACACGGCGGGUGCUAACGUCCGUCGUGAAGAGGGAAACAACCCAGACCGCCAGCUAAGGUCCCAAAGUCAUGGUUAAGUGGGAAACGAUGUGGGAAGGCCCAGACAGCCAGGAUGUUGGCUUAGAAGCAGCCAUCAUUUAAAGAAAGCGUAAUAGCUCACUGGUCGAGUCGGCCUGCGCGGAAGAUGUAACGGGGCUAAACCAUGCACCGAAGCUGCGGCAGCGACGCUUAUGCGUUGUUGGGUAGGGGAGCGUUCUGUAAGCCUGCGAAGGUGUGCUGUGAGGCAUGCUGGAGGUAUCAGAAGUGCGAAUGCUGACAUAAGUAACGAUAAAGCGGGUGAAAAGCCCGCUCGCCGGAAGACCAAGGGUUCCUGUCCAACGUUAAUCGGGGCAGGGUGAGUCGACCCCUAAGGCGAGGCCGAAAGGCGUAGUCGAUGGGAAACAGGUUAAUAUUCCUGUACUUGGUGUUACUGCGAAGGGGGGACGGAGAAGGCUAUGUUGGCCGGGCGACGGUUGUCCCGGUUUAAGCGUGUAGGCUGGUUUUCCAGGCAAAUCCGGAAAAUCAAGGCUGAGGCGUGAUGACGAGGCACUACGGUGCUGAAGCAACAAAUGCCCUGCUUCCAGGAAAAGCCUCUAAGCAUCAGGUAACAUCAAAUCGUACCCCAAACCGACACAGGUGGUCAGGUAGAGAAUACCAAGGCGCUUGAGAGAACUCGGGUGAAGGAACUAGGCAAAAUGGUGCCGUAACUUCGGGAGAAGGCACGCUGAUAUGUAGGUGAAGUCCCUCGCGGAUGGAGCUGAAAUCAGUCGAAGAUACCAGCUGGCUGCAACUGUUUAUUAAAAACACAGCACUGUGCAAACACGAAAGUGGACGUAUACGGUGUGACGCCUGCCCGGUGCCGGAAGGUUAAUUGAUGGGGUCAGCGCAAGCGAAGCUCUUGAUCGAAGCCCCGGUAAACGGCGGCCGUAACUAUAACGGUCCUAAGGUAGCGAAAUUCCUUGUCGGGUAAGUUCCGACCUGCACGAAUGGCGUAAUGAUGGCCAGGCUGUCUCCACCCGAGACUCAGUGAAAUUGAACUCGCUGUGAAGAUGCAGUGUACCCGCGGCAAGACGGAAAGACCCCGUGAACCUUUACUAUAGCUUGACACUGAACAUUGAGCCUUGAUGUGUAGGAUAGGUGGGAGGCUUUGAAGUGUGGACGCCAGUCUGCAUGGAGUCGACCUUGAAAUACCACCCUUUAAUGUUUGAUGUUCUAACGUGGACCCGUGAUCCGGGUUGCGGACAGUGUCUGGUGGGUAGUUUGACUGGGGCGGUCUCCUCCUAAAGAGUAACGGAGGAGCACGAAGGUUGGCUAAUCCUGGUCGGACAUCAGGAGGUUAGUGCAAUGGCAUAAGCCAGCUUGACUGCGAGCGUGACGGCGCGAGCAGGUGCGAAAGCAGGUCAUAGUGAUCCGGUGGUUCUGAAUGGAAGGGCCAUCGCUCAACGGAUAAAAGGUACUCCGGGGAUAACAGGCUGAUACCGCCCAAGAGUUCAUAUCGACGGCGGUGUUUGGCACCUCGAUGUCGGCUCAUCACAUCCUGGGGCUGAAGUAGGUCCCAAGGGUAUGGCUGUUCGCCAUUUAAAGUGGUACGCGAGCUGGGUUUAGAACGUCGUGAGACAGUUCGGUCCCUAUCUGCCGUGGGCGCUGGAGAACUGAGGGGGGCUGCUCCUAGUACGAGAGGACCGGAGUGGACGCAUCACUGGUGUUCGGGUUGUCAUGCCAAUGGCACUGCCCGGUAGCUAAAUGCGGAAGAGAUAAGUGCUGAAAGCAUCUAAGCACGAAACUUGCCCCGAGAUGAGUUCUCCCUGACCCUUUAAGGGUCCUGAAGGAACGUUGAAGACGACGACGUUGAUAGGCCGGGUGUGUAAGCGCAGCGAUGCGUUGAGCUAACCGGUACUAAUGAACCGUGAGGCUUAACCUU
RNAcentral lists this ribosomal RNA (2902 nucleotides) under Shigella sonnei. RNAcentral's name for it is "bacterial LSU rRNA". It matches the Rfam family "Bacterial large subunit ribosomal RNA". The record is from RNAcentral. Lineage: Bacteria; Pseudomonadati; Pseudomonadota; Gammaproteobacteria; Enterobacterales; Enterobacteriaceae.